Pseudopipra pipra is the source of this 215-nucleotide long non-coding RNA. RefSeq lists it as uncharacterized. The transcript has 2 exons. The record is from RefSeq and is a predicted model, not a curated record. Lineage: Eukaryota; Metazoa; Chordata; Aves; Passeriformes; Pipridae.
UCACCUUUGAAGGAAAAGCAUCAGAAAAAAAUUCACAAGGUAUGAAGAUGUUUUAAUGAGUUAACUGCAAAACAAUCCUACUUGCUGGAUGAAUAUUUAGUUUUCUUUCCAGGCUGUGCUCCAAUUUUUUGCAUCAACCUGACUUAGGCUGCUCAGAAAACAACCUGAAUCAAGUGAUUACAGAAAAGCUAACCAUGCUAAAAGGAGACCAUGCU